UACAGAGGUCCCAAGCGUUGUUCGGAUUUACUGGGCGUAAAGGGUGCGUAGGCGGUGGGGUAAGUUUGAGGUGAAAGCUCCGGGCUCAACCCGGAAACUGCCUUGAAAACUAUCCGGCUAGAGGGUUGGAGAGGAGAGCGGAAUUCCCAGUGUAGCGGUGAAAUGCGUAGAUAUUGGGAGGAACACCGGUGGCGAAGGCGGCUCUCUGGACCGGUACUGACGCUGAGACGCGAAAGCCAGGGGAGCAAACGGG
This 253-nucleotide ribosomal RNA is filed under the name uncultured bacterium. RNAcentral's name for it is "partial 16S ribosomal RNA". It matches the Rfam family "Bacterial small subunit ribosomal RNA", at positions 524 to 776 of the family's 1533-position model. The record is from RNAcentral.